This 76-nucleotide transfer RNA is filed under the name Candidatus Saccharimonadota bacterium. Its description in RNAcentral is "tRNA-Pro". It matches the Rfam family "tRNA". Rfam says of the family: Transfer RNA (tRNA) molecules are approximately 80 nucleotides in length. Their secondary structure includes four short double-helical elements and three loops (D, anti-codon, and T loops). RNAcentral also lists the same sequence under 1 other name. The record is from RNAcentral. Lineage: Bacteria; Candidatus Saccharimonadota.
CGGGGCGUAGCACAGUUGGUAGCGCGCAGCGUUUGGGACGCUGAGGUCGCAGGUUCAAGUCCUGUCGCCCCGACCA